AGGUCUGUUAGAGCACGUGGAGCGUUAAGAUCCUGACACUGCGGACUAUCGAUGUGUUUAUCGCGGCGUGACUACUGAUGGGUUUAUCGCGGCGUGACUUCUGAUGGGUUUAUCGCGACGUGUUUCACGAGACCCGAAUGUUGUACGCGGGUGGAGAGUCGGCUCACACCUCCUCACAAGUCCUUCUGUGCAGGAUGUCAGGGCCGAUUGGUAAGGGUGUGCUUUUUCUCCCGCCCCAGGCCCCCAGACGGCGCAGAGGACUCGUCUAGGGAGAAAGCACCGGAAGGGUGGCUCAAUGUAUACUCCCAACACCUGCCCAGAAUCUUGAUCCUGCCUCGCGGGUGUUUAUCUCCGCUUCCUCCAGAGUGCUUAUCCUGCGCGUCUGGGAGGUGAUUUCGUAUCUAGGAUAAAUGGGGGUGGGUUGUGGGGUGAGGCACCCUUAUAGUCCACCUUGGUCCAGAGGAAACGAGUCUGAGGGCGAAACGAUCCGUCAGCUCUGGAGGAAACAGGGAAUAGACCAGAAUGGUAGUCAGCUUACUCCUGGACUUAGACACCCAUCUGGUCCCAAGGAGGGUCUUGUCAAAAGCUCGCCUAGUGGUACACCCAACCUGGAGAAGCAAGUUUUAGAAGGGAACCAGCCCAAUCUACAGAGGGAUUUUAAAAGCAGGCUGUAGGGUGAAAGGGCUUUAGGUUGUCAAUUCUUAGGAAAUCUUAGGUAACAGGGCUUUUGAGAUAAUGUGGUCACACAUCUGAAAGGUUCAGCAUCCCAGGCCUGGUGUGGCCAUCAUCGUGGGCACCAUUAUCAGCUCCAGCAUCUUCGUGCCGCCCACCGACGUGCUCAAGGAAGUGGGUUCGCCCGGGUGUGGUGUGGGCUGUGUAAUUUGAGCUGACAGGUGCACUUGGAAAGUUUCAUUAGUCAAGGUCAGUCCAGAAGCCCUAAGAACCCCCCUCCUUUUCACCAGCUGUUUUGUUUUCUGUCCAAAGGGGUCCCCAGGAAGAAGGGGGAGGGGCUUCAUUCAAGAAGAACCUUCAGAUUUGUAAUGAUGCAGAGCCCUGUAUGCUCUGCUAAACAGUCCAGUCUGCCAGGCCUUCCCCACUCCUGAGGCAUGACCAAUAAAGAAAUUCAAACUUCUCCCCAUCUCUGGAUCUACCGCUGCAGCCAAGAAUGCCAGAGCUGCCCCUUAGAAGCCCACGUCAGGGAGGUGUUCAGCCAAGAACUCCAAGGGUCACCGGAGCUACCCCCCCCCCAUCCCCAGUAUGUCAGCCAUUCACAAGCAAUGACAAGCUGGCAUUUCUGUAGCCUGAGCAGUGGGAAGCCACAGAGCUGAAAGGUCCCACCAACUUUAACAUGCCCCAGUACAGAAUGCCUAAACUGAUGGCUUUGGGGAGACUGAGAAACUUGCUUCUCAUUCUUGACAUAGUCCUUUCAGAGGGCUAAACGCAUACCACCAACCCACUGAGACAUCGCUAAGAUUCCAAGGUACAUCGCCCAACUUAAUAGGACACGUGGCAACUCUUGGUAAAUGAGGAAACCAACUUUGCAGUUGUGUAACUUGCCCGCCCAGUAUGCACAGCCUCAUGGCCUCCUACCCCGGGGCAAGCAGCCUGCUCACCUCUCACCUGUGGGUGGCUAACCCUUGCUUCUUUUGGAAUCUGUUCUCAUUCCCAGUGGAAUCUGGGUUCUGCAUCGCAGCCGUGGGGAAGCUUUGAUUUGAGCCAGAGAUAGCAAUAGUCCAAGGAGGUAUAAAAUCACAACCAUAGUUAAGUCAAAGUUACUACCAGAGGCCAAGGAAGGUGGUCAUGGAGGAACACGGCAGGCUCAGAUGGAUUUUCUGGGUCUGGAGUUCAGAGAAAGAAUGAGCAAGGAAAGCAAGAGGGAACCUGAGCUCUGGACAGUUGGGAGGCUUGGUGCCUGGCAAGCUGCUGUGGUGACAAUACCCAGUGAAUGUCCCCAAGACCCACUUGCUCGUGACUUGCUCGUGGCUCCUCUGCUGCUUCUCACAGAGUUAGACUUCUUCCAGCAAAGC
RNAcentral lists this long non-coding RNA (2027 nucleotides) under Mus pahari (shrew mouse). RNAcentral's name for it is "lncRNA (MGP_PahariEiJ_G0003065.1)". Lineage: Eukaryota; Metazoa; Chordata; Mammalia; Rodentia; Muridae. The record is from RNAcentral.